RNAcentral lists this ribosomal RNA (447 nucleotides) under uncultured bacterium. Its description in RNAcentral is "bacterial SSU rRNA". It matches the Rfam family "Bacterial small subunit ribosomal RNA", at positions 329 to 793 of the family's 1533-position model. The record is from RNAcentral.
UUCCAGACUCCUACGGGAGGCAGCAGUGGGGGAUAUUGCACAAUGGGGGAAACCCUGAUGCAGCGACGCCGCGUGAGUGAAGAAGUCCUUCGUGAUGUAAAGCUCUAUCAGCAGGGAAGAAAAUGACGGUACCUGAGUAAGAAGCCCCGGCUAACUACGUGCCAGCAGCCGCGGUAAUACGUAGGGGGCAAGCGUUAUCCGGAUUUACUGGGUGUAAAGGGAGCGUAGACGGCCAGACAAGUCUGAAGUGAAAAUCCAGCGCUUAACGUUGGAAGUGCUUUGGAAACUGCCGGGCUGGAGUGCAGGAGGGGCAGGCGGAAUUCCUAGUGUAGCGGUGAAGUGCGUAGAUAUUAGGAGGAACACCAGUGGCGAAGGCGGCCUGCUGGACUGCAACUGACGUUGAGGCUCGAAGGCGUGGGGAGCAAACAGGAUUAGAUACCCCGGUAU